GGUCUUGACCAGUCAGGAUGCUGAUGG
Molecule: non-coding RNA, 27 nt
Filed under: Homo sapiens (human)
Lineage: Eukaryota; Metazoa; Chordata; Mammalia; Primates; Hominidae
Source: RNAcentral